UACGGAGGGUGCGAGCGUUGUCCGGAAUCACUGGGCGUAAAGGGCGCGUAGGUGGCGCGGGCAGUCAACGGUGAAAGUUCGGGGCUCAACCCUGAAUCGGCCGUCGAUACUCCCGGGCUUGAGCACUGUAGAGGCAGAUGGAAUUCCGGGUGUAGCGGUGGAAUGCGUGGAGAUCCGGAAGAACACCGGUGGCGAAGGCGGUCUGCUGGGCAGUAGCUGACACUGAGGCGCGACAGCGUGGGGAGCAAACAGG
Molecule: ribosomal RNA, 253 nt
Filed under: uncultured bacterium
Lineage: Bacteria
Description: partial 16S ribosomal RNA
Rfam family: Bacterial small subunit ribosomal RNA
Source: RNAcentral